CUUCCAGUAGUACCUUAGAGACCAACUAAAUUUGUUGUUGGUAUGAGCUUUCAUGUGUCUCUGAAGAAGUGUGCAUGCACAUGAAAGCUCACACAAACAACAAACUUAGUUGGUCUCUAAGAUGCUACUGGAAG
Molecule: non-coding RNA, 134 nt
Organism: Podarcis lilfordi (Lilford's wall lizard)
Lineage: Eukaryota; Metazoa; Chordata; Lepidosauria; Squamata; Lacertidae
Source: the annotation of a GenBank genome assembly